This is a long non-coding RNA of Malaclemys terrapin pileata, 4567 nucleotides long. RefSeq lists it as uncharacterized. The transcript has 3 exons. NCBI's taxonomy places the organism in Eukaryota, Metazoa, Chordata, Testudines, Emydidae. The record is from RefSeq and is a predicted model, not a curated record.
GCUCAGUAGCAGACAGGCCUCCAGCCUCCUCGGAACCUGCAUGGCGCAGAGAAAAGCCCCGCGCGGUGGGGGGAGGCGCGUGGCGUGUCCCGGUGUCUGCGGCUCUGAGCUCCCCGCAGUUACAAACAGCUGUGGGACGGUGAGGGGAGGGCUAGCGGUGCAGUCCCAGCCCAGGGUCCAAAGCCCCGUCCCCAGAGUGAGAUGCUGCAGCAGGGAAAUAGUGCGUGGAAGCCCUUCCUUGCAGGCCUGUUCCUACAAAUCCUGCAAUCCACAACCACCUCCUUCACUUCAGCAGAAAGUUUCUUAGUUCACGGUGCCAGUUCUUACGUCGAAAGAGUCCUGUGUCUACACUGGAGGGUGGAAAAAUUCCCUUUUCUGAUGUGGUUUUCCCUUCUUUCUGGAAAAACAACCUUUCUAUGGCCAUAGAUAUCCUGCUGCACAAAGAGGAACAACCAGUACAGCCUAAGAUGGAUACCCUUCUACAAAUGGUUGACGUUUCAACUGUGGUUGGUUUUCUUUGUACCCCUCCAUUGUAGAGGAGUCUGUUUUUUGCUUUCCAUGCUGUCACUUUGCUUCUCAAACCACAGUUGGACCAGGAGAACAAUUCAACAACAGAAGAUUAUUGAGUGUAGCUUUAAGAAACGGAAAGAUUUUCAUAGUUUGUUAAAACAACAUUCACUCAGUUCCAGGCAUCAAGCAGCUUUCAUUUUGUGGUAAAACUACUUGACAAUUAGGAUCAGCAGUUUGAAAAGUGUCGCAGAUCAAUUUGUUUCCAGUCAUCAGGCUGUCAUAGCUGAAAAUUGCCAGCAUAUUGAAACACUCUUACAGGUCUCCAUGCUCUGUGCAAAACAGGGUAUUGCUUUUUGGGGGCAUGAUGAAACACACAAUUCUAGCAAUAAAGAAAAUUUCAUUGGAAUGCUUGAGCUGGUUGCUUCUGCUCAGCCCCAGCCUUUUGAAUCAACUAAGAAGCAGGUAUGGACACGAUACCUCUCACCAGUACCAGAACGACUUGAUACAUUCUGCUGCAGCAGUCCUGAGAGAAAGCGCUGCUGAAGAGGUCAGACAAGCCAAGUAUUUUUCUGUCCGUGUUGAUGAAACUAAAGAUGCAUCAAGAAAAGAACAGCUGUGUCUCCUUUUACGCUGCCAUUGAAAAGGAAUCCUUCAGGAAAGAUCUGUGGGUUGCUUCCACAUGGAAAAUCUAAAUGCUGAAUUUGUUUCAAAAAGGAUUAUUGAAGAGCUACAGCAUUUGAAGCUUGAUAUUAAUUACAUCGUUGCCCAGUGCCCUGAUGCAGCUUCUCUGCUGAGUGGGCAUUUAACAGAUGUACAAGCUCGCACUCAGGAAAGGAUUACAUAUGCCAUUUAUGUGCACUGUCAUGCUCACAGGCUUAAUCUUGUCAUUGCAGGCACAUGUUCCAGCAUCACCCAAUGUCAGGAAGUCUUUGCGUUUGCUCAGGACCUGUACAUCUUCUUUAGCAGUAGUUGCAGGCACCAUGAACUGUUUGUUAAGGCACAGCAGGAGCUAGGCCAGAAGGUGCUUGAGCUAGGUAGAUUAUGUGAAACUCGCUCGUGCUGGUUUGACUCCCUCCAAAAACUGCAUGCAAGAUGGAAACAUGGGAGCCAUUUCAGUUCAGAGAGCUGAUGGCCCAGCGGCUAGCACUGGCGAGGGUUUGAUGGCAAGGCUAAAGUGCUAUUCCUGUCUGUUGAGGCUCUUGGUUUCGAGAAGAAUAUUCAAAAUCUUGAAUAAUAUUUCAGAAUUACAAAAUGAAAACCUGAAUUUAUCUAAUCCCAUGAAUUAGUAGCAAUCAAUGUUGCUGCUCUUCAAGAAAUGAGAACAUCUGAAAGCUAAUGGAAGGAGCUAUGUGAUGAAGCUGAAAUCAUUGCCAAGGAAUUUGAAAUGGCUAUUCCGGGUCAGGCAGUCGCAACUGCUGAGCACAGCAGUACAAAAACGGCAAUAAGACCUAAAAAAAAUAACUUCCAAGCUGGCCUUGUUUUUUGUUUUUAGUACACUGGGUCAGUCAUCUCCACAUGAUGUUCCCAAGAGCACUCAUGAAUCUAUAAAAUCUGAUUUUUACUAUCCUGUUUUGGACAGUAUUCUUGCAGAGCUCGAUAGACGAUGCACCUUCAACUCCAGUUUGCUUUCUGUACUAACUGUGUGUGACCCAAAGAGUGAAAAUUUUCUUGCAUAUGAGAAACUGAAAAUAAUUGCAGAUCACUAUGGAUCAACAGGCACCGAUUUUUGACAGUCUGGAUGCAGAAGUCGAAGUUGCUGAGAAGCACAUUGCAUAGGGUGACCAGACAGCAAGUGUGAAAAAUCGGGACAGAGGGUGGGGGGUAAUAGGCACCCAUGUAAGAAAAAGCCCCAAAUAUCGGGACCGUCCCUAUAAAAUCGGGACAUCUGGUCACCUUAACAUUGCACCAAAAAAUUGACUUCAAUUUCUGAAUUCUGGAUGUUCUCAAGGACUUACCAAGGGCUUUCCAGUCUUUGCUGUCUAUUGUAGAUAUUGUGUUGAGCCUUCUAGUGUCUGCAACAUCAAAAGGAGAGGUAUUUCUCUGUGCUCAGAGAGUAAAGAACUACUUAGGAUCCACAGUGGGAGACAAGCGCUUAGAUGACUUGGUAAUUUUAGCCUGCGAACGUGAAGCUUCAGAACACCUGGAUAUCAACAAGGCCAUUGACCAUUUUGCCAAGAUGAGAAGACGGCGUUAUCUAUUGUGUUAGCUCCUAUCUGGAGUGUUUUGUUUUCAAUAAUUUAUUUACCUGUAAAGAAAUUAACUGUCUCAUUCACCUCUUCACAAAUUGGAAUAUAAGACAUUUAAAAAACAACAAUUGCAGGGGUAAACAGCUUUUAUUUUUAUUCAUUUAUCUCUACUAAAGAGAGUGUACAAAGUAUCAAACUUGUUUCUGAUAUCUGUGUUAAAGCUCCAAAACUGAUACCUCAGAGUGUGGGAUUGGGAAUAUCUUGCUGUGUUAUGUUCCUAUUGCUCUAAAUUUACAUGUACAUUUAAAAUAUGGUUAUAACUGAUUUUUGUUAAUUCCCCCCCCCCCCCUUCUUUAUAUAGGAAUUAGAUACAGUGCUCCUGUCAUUUAAUUUCUAAGUUAUCUGCAGGGAAAAAAAGCAACCCUAGCGUUUUCAGGUGCCUAAGUAGCCUCUGGAAUCAUGAUUAAAGUUGCCCCCCCCACACACACACACACCUCUCACUGGGCCCCUCUGUCCCCAACCAGCAGAGUGGACCUUGUGGCACUGAUCUUGACACCGUGGGGUCACUGUGCGUUGCCCGGCCUUCCUGGGGCUAUAGAGCGACCCAUCACUGACACGUGGCCGCAUCAGAGACACUCUCAGGGAAGCUGGGGGUUUGGGUGCUGUGAUGGGGUGCCCGGGGUGCAGCCUGGACUGUGGGACUGCUGAGCUCUCCAAAACCCACCAGCUUGGGGUAUCCCCAACAUUGUGAUGCUGAUGUCAAGCUACAAACCUGAUAGGCAUUGCACUUAACCAGACAUCCACAGGCAAGGACCCACCCAACUGAGUUACAUGAAUGAUUUCCUAGCCACUCAUGAACCAUCAAUAGAAGGCUCCAGCCAGUUCCCUCCAGCUCCAGCCCUGCACCCCAGAAUUGUUCCGUCUUGCACUGGUCAGAAGCCUGAGCAGUGUAAAAUUAAUUUCUUAGUUUGCUACUUCUUCAUAGGAAAGUGGACAUGCACCAGCCUUUGUAACCUGAGCAGAUUUCUCAAGCACUUUAGACAAAUUCACUGGUAAGGAUAAAACAUUAAAAUAAGUUUAACUACAGAAAGAUUGAUUUAUAAGUGAUUAUACUGGUAGGCAUAAAGGUCAGACAGAGUUACCUUAAGAAAGGGGGAAGGGAAAAGAUGAUGUCAUUGUCUCUCUCAAAAGAUCUUUGUUCUGAUGUGGGUUAGUCUGUCCCCACGGUGUACAUACCUUCUCAGAGAAGUGUCUGGGAUAAUGGAAUGGCGUUGGUGAGCCAUUAAUGCUGUCUGGCUAUUGGUGGCCACUCCCUUGUUGUAACUGAAAGGUUGGUUGUGGGUGUGCCCAACCUCACAACAUAUUUCAGUAACACAUCUAGCAAUACUUCACAUACAAUGAGAGCACAUACACUCCAGCAGCACAUUAAUGUUCAACAGAUCAAGACUGUUAAAAUCAGGGCUGUCAAAGUCCCGGCCUGAGAACCUCCCCACUGCAGCCUGCGGAGGAGAGACGCAUGCAGACACACGGCCAGUCCCCACAGCUCCCAUUGGCUGGAGGAGAGGGACAGAGAUACCAUCACUAGUUGCUGGUCAGAGUCAGCUGUGGAGACAGCAUCAUUAGUUGCCAGGCAGAGUCAGCCAUGGAGGCAGCAUCACUUUUUUCUAUAAUGAAUAUAAACAAGUCUAAAUACCGAACACAAUAAUCUGAUGCACACCUUACUGCAAUCCUGAAUGUUUCAACUGCUCAGUCACUGAGGCCAAACAUCAACAAACUGACAGAACUGAAGCGUUGCCAGGUGUCUGGCAAACACUAAAAACUCUGACAGGCGAAGAAUUGUAUAAAGUUGUUUGACAAUUUUAUUAUUUCUA